This 494-nucleotide ribosomal RNA is filed under the name uncultured bacterium. RNAcentral describes it as "partial 16S ribosomal RNA". It matches the Rfam family "Bacterial small subunit ribosomal RNA", at positions 28 to 507 of the family's 1533-position model. The record is from RNAcentral.
GACGAACGCUGGCGGCGCGCUUAACACAUGCAAGUCGAACGGAAAGGCCUGCUUUUCCUUGUGGAUUUCGGGUACUCGAGUGGCUAACGGGUGCGUAACACGUGUGUGUUCUGCCCCCAACUUGGUUCUAAGCCUGGGAAACUGGGUCUAAUUCCCGUUUGAACUGCAGGGUGGUGCCUUUGGUGGCGAACGUUUUUCUAGUGAUUGGGGAUGAGCUCGCGGCCUAUCUGCUUGUUGGUGAGGUAAUUGCCUACCAAGACGGAGACGGGUAGCCGGACUGGGAGGGUGGACGGCGACAUUGGGACGGGGAUACGGCCCAGACGGCUACGGGAGGCAGGAGAGGGGAAGAAUGGAGAAUGGGCGGAAGGGUGAUGCAGCGAGGGAGUGUGGGGGAUGACGGGAUUGGGGUUGUAAACUACUAGGGACGGAGAGGAAGGCAAGUGGUUGGAAGGGUGGUGACGGUAGUGGUAGAAGAAGCACCGGCUAACUACGUG